This 497-nucleotide ribosomal RNA is filed under the name uncultured bacterium. Its description in RNAcentral is "partial 16S ribosomal RNA". It matches the Rfam family "Bacterial small subunit ribosomal RNA", at positions 28 to 507 of the family's 1533-position model. The record is from RNAcentral.
GAUGAACGCUGGCGGCGUGCCUAAUACAUGCAAGUCGAGCGAACAGACGAGGAGCUUGCUCCUCUGACGUUAGCGGCGGACGGGUGAGUAACACGUGGAUAACCUACCUAUAAGACUGGGAUAACUUCGGGAAACCGGAGCUAAUACCGGAUAAUAUAUUGAACCGCAUGGUUCAAUAGUGAAAGACGGUUUUGCUGUCACUUAUAGAUUGAUCCGCGCCGCAUUAGCUAGUUGGUAAAGUAACGGCUUACCAAGGCAACGAUGCGUAGCCGACCUGAGAGGGUGAUCGGCCACACUGGAACUGAGACACGGUCCAGACUCCUACGGGAGGCAGCAGUAGGGAAUCGUACGCAAUGGGCGAAAGCCUGACGGAGCAACGCCGCGUGAGUGAUGAAGGUCUUCGGAUCGUAAAACUCUGUUAUUAGGGAAGAACAAAUGUGUAAGUAACUAUGCACGUCUUGACGGUACCUAAUCAGAAAGCCACGGCUAACUACGUG